This 137-nucleotide ribosomal RNA is filed under the name uncultured bacterium. Its description in RNAcentral is "partial 16S ribosomal RNA". It matches the Rfam family "Bacterial small subunit ribosomal RNA", at positions 923 to 1050 of the family's 1533-position model. The record is from RNAcentral.
GCACAAGCGGUGGAGCAUGUGGUUUAAUUCGAUGCAAACCGAAGAACCUUACCUGGGUUUGACAAGCAGGUGGUACGAACCUGAAAGGGCGAGGACCAUAUCUUCGGAUAUGGAGCCUGCACAGGUGCUGCAUGGCU